AAAAUCCCUAACAAAGCAAUUUCUUUUUAAAUUAGGACAUUUUAAAAUUGAUGGGCUCUUUUCAGCCCGUGAAAGUCAGCACUGUUAGCUCCCCAAGCACUUCACAAUCCUUGAAGAUACCGCUGAAGGCAGAGCAAAUUUUAAACGUGUCCCUGGUGGAUAUGCAAUACAGUUACAAAUGCAGAAAGUGUCUGAGCAGAGCUCCUGCAUGGAAAAGAAGUGUCAAGCAGAGAGCAAGAUCCUGAGACACAGAGCUUGUUUAAUUUCUGCUCGAUCCCCAGCAGAUGUGAGAGUGACAGAUGGAGAAGUAUUCAGUGACUCUUGGAAGCCUUUAAGAGACAACAGAUGCCUCCUAACUGUAGAUGAAUUUCUCAGAGGUGCAGAACAAAAGGACAAAAGAGAACAAGGAGCCAGCCCUGCUUUAUCAAGGUACUGAUGCAAACUGGAGCUGCAAAGGCAGAGCAGGCUGUGCUUGGGACGCCUGCAAACAUAAAAGAAGAUGCAGAGAAGGAAUGGACAAAGAAGUGAACCCGGGGACACAAUGUGCCUCGGGAAAUGCUGCCAGCUGUCUGCCCCUGUCCUAUCCUGCCCUGCCACAGUCCUGCUCCGUAUUCCCAAGUGCUCAUUUGACUCAUGCAAAAACUUUUGUCUUUACCCCUUAUGGCUAUUUAAGACUUAAAUGUUGAACAGCAGUUCUGGUUCAGAUAUUUAUCUUCUCAGCUAUAAAUAAAAUAGGGAUACUUGCUGUGUAGAGAAAAGGUUUAGAUUAUAUAGGCAGACCUUCUGUUUGGUAAAAACACAAAAAAUGUUGGGUAAAGAAUAGCUGUUAAUCCUGUAAAUGAGAUAAUGUACAGAGAUAAUCUAGGUGUGUGUGUAUGUACAUUUGUGUGUAAUCCCACUGCAGCCCUCCACUGGGACCAGACUCCUUUGCAGUCUUACAGUAACUCUAUUGGAAUGAGAAAACAAUGGGAAGUAUUGUUUUCUAGCAAUAUUUUAGCACAGUAAAGUAAAUACUUCAGCAAGUAUUUACUAGCAGGAAUACUAUUACCAUGUUUAAUGAAAUUGUGAUCAGUAAAUGGAGCCAGCUGCAAACAUCUUGUUGGUUUUUUUUUCCUGAAAAUACCUGAAUGCCUUGGUAUAUGCUUUAUCCUUCAACAAAAAAAUAUCUAUUUUUAAGGCUACAAAUAGCUGUGGGGCAUAGGAGACCCUGAGGGCUGUGCUGCGAUAAAAAUUAUAUAUAAAAUGUUAGUGAAAACUAUAAAACUUCACUUCCAGCAUGGAGGUCUAAUAUUUUUAAGUGCCUUGGGGUGUGAGAAAGGAAUCUGAAUCUCAGAAAUGCUAUCAGAAAUAUUUAGGAUAUGUGGUUAUUGCCUGUUGUGUGUUAACAAUAAGUGGGCUGUUGAAUAAUUGUCCUAAACUCUAAUGGUGUUCUGUGCUGGACAGAAGGGCUGAGAGAUGAUCAUCAAGGGAUGUUCAUCAAGGGAUGCUGAUCGAGGGAUGCACAUUCAGGGAUGAUAAGGGGUCCCAGUGCCCAGCUCCUCCACCAGCAAGGAUUGUUUUCUGUCUGCUCAGGGAUAAAUGGCCGAGAGAGGAUUUUCUCCACCUUCUUUCUAGCAUGAAACUGCCCAGUGGCCAGGUGUGGAAGUGGCCUUUGGAACAGGAACCUAUGUGUCCCAGCACUGUGGGAGAAAUACCUCUGGGAACUCCAGACGUCUAACACUAAUGUUCUCUGGAGGGGCAAAUCUCUAUUGACUGCGGAGGGAAAUCAGGAUCUCUAAUGGAGGGGCUUUAAACUGUACGUUAGUUAAACUUCUCUGGUCAGUGGUUUGAAUAGAUCCUGUAAAAAAUGUCCCAGACAUCUCUAAACACAUCUCCCUCUGGUGCUGCUUCCAUUACACGCAGAGAAUUUGGUACUACAUUAUCAACUUAAUAAUGGUUUUGGGGAAGGAGAAUAAAUUUUGCAGCCAAGAGUAGUUUUCCUAAGUUUGUUUUCCUACUGUAGCUCCCUGCAUCCUCAGUUGUGUUUGUGAAAAAGCAUUUUUGUUUGCAUGGAAAAACAAACCACAGGAGUUUUCUCAUCUGUCAUCCCUCUGUUUCUGCAAGAACACACAUGUCCUUGGUGAGAGCCCUGAUCGCCAGCUGGCUGGGCUUCAACGGCAGUGCCAUAUGUCGAAGAGGAGCAGUCUGCAGACCAUGAGCGGUCAGCAGUCAGUGCGAACAGUUAACAAAUGAUCCAUAGGACUGCUUUGGCGCACCCACGGUGAAUCCAGCACCCAGCUAAGGCAUUCUACUGGUGUUGGGACGGUUGAUUCAAGCUCAUAAAUUACUUGCAAUUAGUUCAGAGAUAAUUCAAUGUUGG
This is a long non-coding RNA of Gallus gallus (chicken), 2359 nucleotides long. The record is from Ensembl. NCBI's taxonomy places the organism in Eukaryota, Metazoa, Chordata, Aves, Galliformes, Phasianidae.